UUGGGCUGUGAUGUUGAAAACUACCUAUUUUCUGAGGGAUAUUCCUUUGAUUAUAAUAAACCAAUGGAUCCUUCUGAGCCCA
Molecule: small nucleolar RNA, 82 nt
Filed under: Olea europaea subsp. europaea
Lineage: Eukaryota; Viridiplantae; Streptophyta; Magnoliopsida; Lamiales; Oleaceae
Source: RNAcentral